This 68-nucleotide transfer RNA is filed under the name bovine gut metagenome. It matches the Rfam family "tRNA". Rfam says of the family: Transfer RNA (tRNA) molecules are approximately 80 nucleotides in length. Their secondary structure includes four short double-helical elements and three loops (D, anti-codon, and T loops). The record is from RNAcentral.
CGGAAUGGCUCAGUUGGUAGAGCGACGCAUUCGUAAUGCGUAGGUCGCGGGUUCGAGUCCCGCUUCCG